ACUUUGUAAUUCAUUAGACCAUCAUCUGGCCCACUUUUUAUGCGAUUCAAUCGUUUAGCCUUUGUCUUCUUCAAACUCAUCUGAGAAAUUCAAUCGUUUCUACAGCUUCAUGUUCUCCUCUUCAACACAUAUUUUUUUUUGGCCAAUUCAACGUAUAUGUUCCUCAAAAAAAAUAAUCCUAAAGGCAUGAAUCGAUUUCCUUCCAAUCACCUCCCCACCUUAUAUAUUCCUCAUCUCUCUUGCUUCUCCCCUUCACCAAAUUCACGGAAAAAAGUUAUUAGAGCAAUCAAUGACAAUCCAAACUGAGUAAUCAACAGGAAAGGCCCCCUCCGCUCUGUUCUUUCCGUUUGUUUAGUCCAGGAUGUCAUAGAGGAGAACACCGAGAGGCAAAGCAAACAUGGAAGCAACGCUGCAGUUGCCUCAGUGUAAACAACGAUAGCUCCACUGACGAUGAAUUAGAUCUGUUCGGUGGUUCUGCUAAUUAUUUUAACGCGAAAUCCCUGCAACGCCUCUGAUCAUCUCAAGAGCUUGAUCCCAUGCGUGAGCAUCACUGAGAGGAGCGUAAAAAAUUGUAAAGAUGGACAAACCAGUGAAACGAAAAUACUCUUUCUUUGCAAGCUGGAUGGCUUUACUUUGGCUUGGAGAUACAAUACUGCCACUACGUUAUCAUACGGCUGCGUCACUUCACUUACAGAGUCUCUUUAUAUGUUGGAGCUAGCAGACUCUUUUCUGGUUUCAUGGACAAUUCUCUAAAUCAAAACAGUUCAUGCCAAUGAAAUUUCAGGUAAUAGAUUCUGAUAGAUUCUGAUUUCAGUUGUUCAACCUUCAAUGGUGCCUAUCUUGAGAAAGCAGUUGCAUACAAAGAUAAUUUCUCAGGCUCAAUGAAGAAAACAAAGUUGACCUUCUGAGAAAUCAUGCAAAGAAUUAGCAGUGAGGGAGCAACACUUUAAUUUGGCCUGCUGUUGAAAGAGCUUCAACGAACUGAUUUUUCGAAACUGCGAAGAGCUUAUUCCACAGGUCGGUUAAAGAUAUAAAUCAUGCAUUGCGACAGUUAUCCCUCUCGGUCACGUCGACAAUUAACUACUUUCUUCCUCCUUCAAUUCUUUGCUUGAAAGUUACUUCAUCUCCACUGCCCUGUUUUGUCUAUAUUUAGCUCUGAAAAAUCUUCUGCUUCUAACCUACAUCGGUGCUCAACUCGGCAUUAUCGCUAUGGAUUCACACAUUGCAGGUAAGGCCAAAAGGUAGAUAUAGAUCAAAUAAUCUUCAUCAUAUGUUGACAAGGUAUGUGAAAACCAGAGUUUUAAGUAGAUCCAACCAGUUAUGUUUUAAACCAUACAUCUCUUUAUUUUUGCAAGGAUAUCUCUGUAGAUUCGGAUCCGAGCCAAUCAUACGCUUUUGAAAUCUGUGGAGAGAUCUUACAAGAAAACUACAAGAUCUAGCUUAUACCACUUUCAAUGCAACAUUGUGGUGUACUCUUCAUGGUAGAGACCGGUUCUGAACUUACUCGGGAGCUUGCUCAUCAGAUUGGGGAGGAAACUAUCAAGUUUUCCAAGUAUCUAGGAUUGGGGUGCCUUCUAUAGUGGGUGGUCAGUCGAUUGAAGAACUGUGUUUUAAGAUGAUAACACAAGGGUGUGAAUAUUGUGAUUUCCACUCCUGGUUGUUUGAUUGAUACGGUAUGAUGUGGUCAGUCCGUGCAACGAUCUGAUUCUUGAUGAGGCAGAUCAGAUAAUAGACAUGGGCUUAAUCCUCAAGUUGUUGGUGUGUUAGAUGUUAUGGCUUCAGGAAAUUUGAAACCCUAUAACAAAGAAGAGCUGGACGAAGUAAUUGAGACAA
Brassica napus (rape) is the source of this 1833-nucleotide long non-coding RNA. RefSeq lists it as uncharacterized. The record is from RefSeq and is a predicted model, not a curated record. Lineage: Eukaryota; Viridiplantae; Streptophyta; Magnoliopsida; Brassicales; Brassicaceae. The transcript is spliced from 7 exons.